This 301-nucleotide ribosomal RNA is filed under the name uncultured bacterium. Its description in RNAcentral is "partial 16S ribosomal RNA". It matches the Rfam family "Bacterial small subunit ribosomal RNA", at positions 509 to 807 of the family's 1533-position model. The record is from RNAcentral.
CAGCCGCCACGGGAAUACAGAGGGUGCGAGCGUUAAUCGGAUUUACUGGGCGUAAAGCGUGCGUAGGCGGCUUCUUAAGUCGGAUGUGAAAUCCCUGAGCUUAACUUAGGAAUUGCAUUCGAUACUGGGAAGCUAGAGUAUGGGAGAGGAUGGUAGAAUUCCAGGUGUAGCGGUGAAAUGCGUAGAGAUCUGGAGGAAUACCGAUGGCGAAGGCAGCCAUCUGGUUUAAUACUGACGCUGAGGUACGAAAGCAUGGGGAGCAAACAGGAUUAGAUACCCCUGUAGUCCCUGUCUCUUAUAC